This 863-nucleotide ribosomal RNA is filed under the name Neooccultibambusa trachycarpi. RNAcentral's name for it is "partial large subunit ribosomal RNA". It matches the Rfam family "Eukaryotic large subunit ribosomal RNA", at positions 76 to 957 of the family's 3401-position model. The record is from RNAcentral. Lineage: Eukaryota; Fungi; Ascomycota; Dothideomycetes; Pleosporales; Occultibambusaceae.
UGCCCUAGUAACGGCGAGUGAAGCGGCAACAGCUCAAAUUUGAAAUCUGGCCCUUUCAGGGUCCGAGUUGUAAUUUGUAGAGGGUGCUUUGGCGUUGGCUGCGGUCUAAGUUCCUUGGAACAGGACGUCACAGAGGGUGAGAAUCCCGUACGUGGCCGCUAGCCCUCGCCGUGUAAAGCCCCUUCGACGAGUCGAGUUGUUUGGGAAUGCAGCUCUAAAUGGGAGGUAAAUUUCUUCUAAAGCUAAAUACUGGCCAGAGACCGAUAGCGCACAAGUAGAGUGAUCGAAAGAUGAAAAGCACUUUGGAAAGAGAGUCAAAAAGCACGUGAAAUUGUUGAAAGGGAAGCGCUUGCAGCCAGACUUGCCUGUAGUUGCUCAUCCGGGCUCUCGCCCGGUGCACUCUUCUGCGGGCAGGCCAGCAUCAGUUUAGGCGGCCGGACAAAGACCUCUGUCACGUAUCUUCCUUCGGGAUGACCUUAUAGGGGAGGUGUAAUGCGGCCAGCCUGGAUUGAGGCCCGCGCAUCUGCUAGGAUGCUGGCGUAAUGGCUGUAAGCGGCCCGUCUUGAAACACGGACCAAGGAGUCUAACAUCUAUGCGAGUGUUUGGGUGUCAAGCCCGGACGCGCAAUGAAAGUGAACGGAGGUGGGAACCCCUCGGGGCGCACCAUCGACCGAUCCUGAUGUCUUCGGAUGGAUUUGAGUAAGAGCAUAGCUGUUGGGACCCGAAAGAUGGUGAACUAUACUUGAAUAGGGUGAAGCCAGAGGAAACUCUGGUGGAGGCUCGCAGCGGUUCUGACGUGCAAAUCGAUCGUCAAAUUUGAGUAUAGGGGCGAAAGACUAAUCGAACUAUCUAGUAGCUGGUUC